RNAcentral lists this unclassified non-coding RNA (2319 nucleotides) under Hevea brasiliensis (rubber tree). Lineage: Eukaryota; Viridiplantae; Streptophyta; Magnoliopsida; Malpighiales; Euphorbiaceae. The record is from RNAcentral.
CAAACGUGCUUACUCUUUCUCACACUUCUAUAAAUCCUUAGCAAAAGAGUGUUGCAACUAAACACCAACAAUAAAAACAUUCAUAGAUGUCUCAUGUAGCACUUUCUAAAGUGUCACAGCAGGGAAAAGGCUCUACCGGUGGUGACAACCUUCUGUAGCCCUACCCACCAAAUGGAGCUCCAAAAGUACCAUAGGACUUCCGAACCCUCCGUCUCUAUCACCCUUUCUGAGCUCAUAAAACGCGUCGAAGAUGCUCAAAGUGACCAUUCCAAUGGCAGCACUCCUAUCCGUCAUCAUGCCCUGGAGCUUGGCUAUGCUUGUAGCUCUGUGUCCCCUUCAAACCCUUUUGUUCUUUCUUUUAAUAACUUAUCAUACAGUGUCAAAGUUGGCCAAAAAUUGACUUUUCCAUUCUGUGGAAACGAUUCAGAUGACUCUCCUGAGACUGGCAUCAAGGUUUUAUUGAAUGAUAUAUCUGGAGAAGCCAGGGAAGGGGAAAUCAUGGCCGUUCUUGGGGCUAGUGGAUCAGGUAAAUCAACGUUGAUCGAUGCACUUGCAGACCGGAUUUCGAAAGAAAGCUUGAAAGGGUCUGUGAGUUUGAACGGUGAGGUCUUGGAGUCAAGGCUUUUGAAAGUUAUAUCUGCUUAUGUUAUGCAAGAUGAUCUCUUGUUUCCGAUGUUAACCAUUGAAGAGACGCUAAUGUUCUCUGCUGAGUUCAGGCUUCCUCGCUCCCUCUCCAAGUCCAAAAAGAAAGCCAGAGUUGAGGCCUUGAUCGAUCAAUUAGGCCUACGCAGCGCUGCGAAGACUGUGAUUGGAGAUGAAGGGCACAGAGGCGUUUCUGGAGGUGAAAGAAGGCGAGUCUCUAUUGGGAUUGACAUAGUUCACGACCCAAUUCUUUUGUUUCUUGAUGAGCCAACCUCUGGACUCGACUCCACCAGUGCUUUUAUGGUUGUUAAGGUGUUGCAGCGAAUUGCCCGAAGUGGUAGCAUUGUGAUCAUGUCCAUCCACCAGCCCAGUUACCGAAUCCUGAGCUUACUUGACCGUUUGAUCUUCCUUUCACAUGGUCAAACGGUGUACGCUGGCCCACCAGGUAGUCUUCCAGAAUUCUUCGCAGAGUUUGGGCAUCCAAUCCCAGAGAAUGAAAACCGAACUGAGUUUGCUCUGGACUUGAUUCGAGAGCUUGAAGAAAUUCCAGACGGAACCAGGACAUUAGUUGAAUUCAACAGGUCAUGGCAAGCACAGGGCAAAAAGAAUCCAAGAAAUCGUAUCAGCAAUUCAUCAAACCUUUCCCUUAAAGAUGCAAUAAGCGCAAGCAUUUCCAAAGGGAAACUUGUCUCUGGCGCCACGAAUGAUUCCAACUUGUCAUCUUCAGUCCCAACAUUUGCCAAUCCAUUUUGGAUUGAAAUGUUAGUGAUAGCUAAAAGAUCACUCACAAACUCUAGAAGAAUGCCUGAAUUGUUUGGAAUUCGCUUCGGUGCUGUUUUCAUUACAGGUGUGAUAUUGGCUACAAUUUUUUGGCAUCUGGACAACUCUCCAAGAGGUGCCCAAGAAAGAUUGGGCUUUUUCGCUUUUGCCAUGUCCACAACUUACUAUACAUGUGCGGAAUCCAUCCCUGCCUUUCUCCAGGAACGUUACAUUUUCAUGAGAGAAACUGCCUACAAUGCUUAUCGCCGUUCUUCCUACGUUCUUGCUCACUCCCUAAUUUCCAUUCCUUCUCUAAUUAUACUCUCUAUUGCCUUCGCAGCUACGACCUACUGGACAGUAGGGCUUGCGGGUGGAGCUUCUGGGUUCUUUUUCUUCUUCUUCACAAUCUUAUCUGCAUUCUGGGCAGGAAGUUCAUUCGUUACAUUCCUCUCAGGCAUCGUCUCUCACGUAAUGCUAGGUUUCACAAUUGUUGUUGCCAUUUUGGCUUACUUCCUUCUCUUCAGUGGAUUCUUCAUUUCUCGGGAUCGAAUUCCUCCCUACUGGAUAUGGUUUCACUAUCUCUCUCUGGUGAAAUAUCCAUAUGAAGGAGCUCUACAAAAUGAGUUCCAGGAUCCCACAAAAUGCUUUGUAAGGGGCGUGCAAAUGUUUGAUAACACACCGCUGAGCGCUGUGCCUGUGGCGCUGAAACUCAAAUUGUUGCAGAGCCUGAGCAACACCUUGGGCAGGAACGUAACAGGCAGCACUUGUAUAGUCACUGGACCAGAUAUACUAAGGGGACAAGGUAUUACAGAUAUAAGCAAAUGGAGUUGUUUAUGGAUCACCAUUGCUUGGGGAUUUUUCUUUAGGGUCUUGUUUUACUUUACUUUGUUGUUGGGAAGCAAGAACAAGAGGAGGUGA